AUUGAACGCUGGCGGCAGGCCUAACACAUGCAAGUCGAACGAGCGGCGGCCGGGUGAGUAAUGUCUGGGAAACUGCCUGAUGGAGGGGGGUAACUCCUGGAAACGGUAGCUCAUACCGCAUAACAUCAGAUGAACCACUAUGGUAUUAGCGUGUAGGUGAGGUAAUGGCUCACUGAGGCGACGAUCCCUAGCUGGUCUGAGAGGAUGAGCAGCCACACUGGGACUGAGACACGGCCCAUACUCCUACGGGAGGCAGCAGUGGGGAAUAUUGCACAAUGGGCGAAAGCCUGAUGCAGCCAUGCCGCGUGUAUGAAGAAGGCCUUCGGGUUGUAAAGUACUUUCAGUCGGGAGGCGUUACCGACAGAAGAAGCACCGGCUAACUCCGUGCCAGCAGCCGCGGUAAUAC
Molecule: ribosomal RNA, 406 nt
Filed under: uncultured bacterium
Lineage: Bacteria
Description: partial 16S ribosomal RNA
Rfam family: Bacterial small subunit ribosomal RNA
Source: RNAcentral